RNAcentral lists this ribosomal RNA (1242 nucleotides) under Varroa destructor (honeybee mite). RNAcentral describes it as "bacterial SSU rRNA". The stretch from base 155 to 1242 matches the Rfam family "Eukaryotic small subunit ribosomal RNA". The record is from RNAcentral. Lineage: Eukaryota; Metazoa; Arthropoda; Arachnida; Mesostigmata; Varroidae.
AUUCCAGAUGUUCAUAGAUAACGUUCUGAAAAACGAAGGAUAUCAACGAGAUUCAUCAGUCAGGUAAAAUAUCAACCAGUUAUAGUAAAACACUCUGAAAAUUUGUAGUACAAUCAAAUCGUGAGUUUGGCGUCGGUAAAUCAAGUGCCCAUCGCACUUUGCGACGCUGUUGAUGGAGCAGUUGUGUUUCAGUACUAGUACAUGUAUAGUAGAACGGAGCGUAUAUAUUGAUAAAGAUUACCUAAAUCGAUGAACAGGUCAUAUAGGGUACGCUACUCCCAGUUAGUACGGUACCCAUAGAACACCCACACCUGACACCCACAGACCCUAGCAAGUGUGUUACUUGGAUAUAAAUGCAUGGAAUGAUGGAAUAUGUUGUUGUUCUAUUUGUUGGUUUUUGAACGAUGAAAUGAUUGAAAGGAACUGUUGGGGGCAUUCGUAUUGUUGUGAGAGAGGUGAAAUUUUUCGACCACAGCAAGACGAACUACCGCGAAAGCACUUGCCAAGAACGUUUUCAUUGAUCACGAACGGAAGUUAGAAGUUCGAAGGCGAUCAAAUACCGCCCUAGUUCUAACCAUAAACUAUGCCAACUAGCAAUUUGCUUACGAAUGUCUUUCGACUAAGUGAGAGGCCACGGGAAACCAAAGUAGGGUCAUGGGGGAAGUAUGGUUGCAAAGCUGAAACUUAAAGGAAUUGACGGAAGGGCACCAUCAGGAGUGGAGCCUGCGGCUUAAUCUGACUCAACACGGGAAAACUUACCUGGUCCUGACACUAGAAAGACUGAUAGCUCUGUCUUGAUUUGGUGGAUGGUGGUGCAUGGCCGUUCUUAGUUGGUGGAGUGAUUUGUCUGGUUAAUUCCGAUAACGAACGAGCCUCUAGCCUAUUAAAUAACACACGGAAUCUUGUCUUCCGUGAGGUUCCCUAAUGGGAUCAAGUGUGUUUAACACUUUGAAACAGAGCAAUUACAGGUCUGUGAUGCCCCUAGAUGUUCGGGGCCGCACGCGCGCUACACCGAGAGACAAAAUGAAUUCCCAGUAAGUGCUAGUCAUUAGCUACUACUGAUUACGUCCCUGCCCUUUGUACACACCGCCCGCCGCUACUACCGAUUGAAUGGUUUAGUGGUAUCAUCUGAGUAGACGGGUAUGAACUUUGGUACGUGCCUGUAUUGCAAUGAAGAUCAAACUUGAUCAUUUAGAGGAAGUAAAAGUCGUAGCAAGGUUUCCGUAGGUGAGCCUGCGGAAG